Molecule: RNA transcript, 2106 nt
Organism: Cyprinodon tularosa
Lineage: Eukaryota; Metazoa; Chordata; Actinopteri; Cyprinodontiformes; Cyprinodontidae
Gene: cald1a
Gene name: caldesmon 1a
Exons: 16
Source: RefSeq, a predicted model, not a curated record
UGUCUUCUUAAAGGGAGGGGCUUGGACGGGGUAUUCAGUGUGGUUUUAACAUUGAGUGUAGAGGAGGAUCAACUGCAGACUGGAUCCCCUUCCUCUUCUUUCAGCUAAACUCCAGAGGUCUACUUUUGUCCCGUUAGGAUUCACAGGGCACCAUCAUGGAGGAUUUGGACUUUGAGCGGCGCCGGGAGCUGAGGAGGCAAAAGCGGGAGGAGAUGCGCUUGGAGGCGGAACGCAUGCUCAGGAACGAUGACGACGAGGAGGAGGCUGCCCGCGAGAGGAGGCGCAGGGCACGCCAGGAGAGGCUGAGGAGCAGGGAGAGCGAGGAGCCAAGCAGCCAGCCAGACAGCAGCGUCCUGACCAACAGCCACAGCGUGACAGAAUCCAUCUCUGUGAGCAGCUCCUAUGGAUAUGGCGGGGAGGAUGAGGACCAGGCCUUGCAGGAGCGCAUGGCCAAGCGAGAGGAGAGACGGCAGAGGCGCAUGAAGGAGGCGCUGGAGAGGCAGAGGCAGCUGGACCCAACCGCCGCGGACGCCGGCGACGGCGUCGGCCUGGAGAAAAACAGCACAGAGGAGGAGAGGCACACGCGCGGCCGGCGUUACCGUGACACCGUGGAGGAGGAAGAGAAGACUGAAAGCAUCAGCUCGAGGCGGGAGGAAAAAGAACCAGAGGAACCUAGAGAGGAGGAAGAGGAAGCUGCUCCUGAGAGAGAGGAAGAGGAGGAGCAGAGGGAUGAAGCUGUAGAAACCAAACCAAGACUGUCUUACAUGAGAGAACAGGCAUCAACAGAGGAGACUGUAAUGCAACACAAGGUGGACGAGAGGGAAGACUCUGAGGAGGAUCAGAGGAAGCAUAACGGAGGGCUGCAUGACGAGGCAGCUCCCAGACAGCACAAGAAACCUGAGAGGACCCUCAGCCGCAGCAGUGUCCGUUCCCCCGAGGUGUCCGCUGGCGACGAGCUGGAUGACGACGCCCGCCUGGAGGCAGAGCGCAAGCUGGAGGAGCUGAAGCGCCGGCGUGAUGACGCAGAGAGCGAGGAGUUCGAGAGGAUGAGGCAGAAGCAGCAGGAGGCCGAAGCUGAGCUGGAGGAGCUGAAAAGGAAGCGGGAGGAGAGGAGGAAGGUGCUGGAGGAGGAGGAGAGGCAGCGGAAGCAGGAGGAGGCGGAACGGAAAGCCAGAGAGGAGGAGGAGAAGAGGAAGAUGAAAGAGGAGAUUGAGAGGAGAAGGGCUGAGGCCGCUGAGAAGAGACAGAAGGUGGACGAUCCCGUGGACGGCGAGGAGAAACCAUUCAAGUGUGUCAGUCCUCGAGGCUCUUCUCUGAAGAUUGGAGAAAGAGCAGAAUUCCUGAACAAGUCUGCACAGAAAAGCACUGUGAAGGCCUCUCAUUCUCCUGUGGUGUCCAAGAUAGACAACAGGCUGGAGCAGUACACCUCAGCUGCUCAGCGAGAGAACAAGGAAUCCAGAUCCCCUCGCUCCACCGUUUUGGACCUUCCCAUGGUCACUGAUGUGCGAAACAUUAAGAGCAUGUGGGAGAAAGGCAACGUGUUUAGCUCGCCCGGAAGUGGCGGAAGCACUUUUAAGGAAGCAGCUGUGAUAAAGACGGGCGUGGCGGGCCGCAUCAACGACUGGCUGAAUAAAACCCCAGAGAGCAGCAAGACGUCAGGAGGAAGGCCAACGGACCUGAAACCCGUUGAUGUCACCAACAAGAGGAGUCUAUGGGAAAACAAAGGCGCCACUCCAACAAAGAACUCUCACAGCUAGUUGACCUCGGCAUUCGAUCUGGAAUAAGCCUGCAGAGAUGGCAGGCAGAGGAGAGGCCAAAUCAGUUGCUAACGGUAUGGGACACUAAUGUCUUGACGGAGCCACUAAAAAUGGGGACCGCGACAAUCCAAGAUUCUACCUUUUGAACAGUUUUUCCUUUUUAUCUCCCUAUAAACCAAAUGAAAUACAGAUCCUUACGAGGGGACCACAAAGAUCCUGACCUCGCACUGUACUGAAACACCACCAUUGUUUUUUCUUUGCCAAUCUUAGUACUUUUGCACAAUGGGUUAGGCUUUGACAAUAAUGAAAAAAAUGCUGUGAAAUUUGGACAUUUUAGAACCUAAAAAAA